UGCCCAGCAACUCCUAUCCCUACCUCCUCGCGGUACUGGCCGGGGUACGGUAACCCACCUCGGUGGGAGCUUUGGUCGUAUGCUGGCAGGGACAGG
RNAcentral lists this ribozyme (96 nucleotides) under Aedes aegypti (yellow fever mosquito). RNAcentral describes it as "drz-agam-1 ribozyme". It matches the Rfam family "drz-agam-1 ribozyme". The record is from Rfam by way of RNAcentral. Lineage: Eukaryota; Metazoa; Arthropoda; Insecta; Diptera; Culicidae.